This is a long non-coding RNA of Helianthus annuus (common sunflower), 356 nucleotides long. RefSeq lists it as uncharacterized. The record is from RefSeq and is a predicted model, not a curated record. Lineage: Eukaryota; Viridiplantae; Streptophyta; Magnoliopsida; Asterales; Asteraceae. The transcript is spliced from 2 exons.
GACCCUGCAAAAGCUAUUGAAAUUCUCGUAAAGGAUUUGAAGGUCUUUUCUACCUUUAAUGGACAACUCUUUAAGGGAAAUCAACCAGCUGCUAACACUUGACAACUUUAGGUGCUUAUUUGAACAUUUGUAUGUAUUGGGAUAGCAAAUCAACGUUGCAAAAAUCCACAUCAAUUAAAACUCUUAUUUACUGAUCAGCAUGAGAAGCUUCAGUUGAUGCAGUGUUCAUUAUAUAUCAUGAAAUGUGAAAAGAGAUUGAAAUGGAACAUGCAAGAAAAAAAGAGUUGAGCUUAAAGCUAUGUUAAAGAUAUUGACGGCCACCGACGAAACUUGGUGCAGACACGAAGUAGGCUACG